Molecule: ribosomal RNA, 428 nt
Filed under: uncultured bacterium
Lineage: Bacteria
Description: partial 16S ribosomal RNA
Rfam family: Bacterial small subunit ribosomal RNA
Source: RNAcentral
GUGGGGAAUAUUGGGCAAUGGGCGAAAGCCUGACCCAGCAACGCCGCGUGAAGGAAGAAGGCUUUCGGGUUGUAAACUUCUUUUACCAGGGACGAAACAAAUGACGGUACCUGGUGAAUAAGCCACGGCUAACUACGUGCCAGCAGCCGCGGUAAUACGUAGGUGGCGAGCGUUAUCCGGAUUUAUUGGGUGUAAAGGGCGUGUAGGCGGGACAGCAAGUCAGAUGUGAAAACCAGAGGCUCAACCUCUGGCCUGCAUUUGAAACUGUUGUUCUUGAGUGUCGGAGAGGUAAUCGGAAUUCCGUGUGUAGCGGUGAAAUGCGUAGAUAUACGGAGGAACACCAGUGGCGAAGGCGGAUUACUGGACGAUAACUGACGCUGAGGCGCGAAAGCGUGGGGAGCAAACAGGAUUAGAAACCCUUGUAGUCC